UCCCUAUGGGGUGCAGCAGUCGCGAAAAUUUUGCAAUACACGAAAGUGUGACAGAGCUAUCCCGAGUGCCAUCCGCUGAGGAAGGCUUUUACCCAGUAUAAAUAGCUGGGAGAAUAAGGAGAGGGCAAGUCUGGUGUCAGCCGCCGCGGUAAUACCAGCUCUCCGAGUAGUGUGGACGUUUAUUGGGCCUAAAGCAUCCGUAGCUUGCUAGAUAAGUCCCCUGUUAAAUCCACCGAUUCAAUCGUUGGAUUGCGGGGGAUACUGUUUGGCUAGGGGACGGGAGAGGUCGACGGUAUUUCCGGGGUAGGGGUGAAAUCCUAUAAUCCCGGGAAGACCACCAGUGGCGAAGGCUGUCGACUAGAACGCGCCCGACGGUGAGGGAUGAAAGCUGGGGGAGCAAACCGGAUUAGAUACCCGGGUAGUCCCAGCUGUAAACGAUGCUCGCUAGGUGUCUGGGACGGUGCGACCGUUUCAGGUGCCGCAGGGAAGCCGUGAAGCGAGCCACCUGGGAAGUACGGCCGCAAGGCUGAAACUUAAAGGAAUUGGCGGGGGAGCACUACAACGGGUGGAGCCUGCGGUUUAAUUGGAUUCAACGCCGGA
Molecule: ribosomal RNA, 600 nt
Filed under: uncultured archaeon
Lineage: Archaea
Description: bacterial SSU rRNA
Rfam family: Archaeal small subunit ribosomal RNA
Source: RNAcentral